GACGAACGCUGGCGGCGUGCUUAACACAUGCAAGUCGAACGGAAAGGCCCUGCUUUUGUGGGGUGCUCGAGUGGCGAACGGGUGAGUAACACGUGAGUAACCUGUCCCUGACUUUGGGAUAACUUCAGGAAACUGGGGCUAAUACCGGCUAGGAGCUCCUGCUGCAUGGUGGGGGUUGGAAAGUUUCGGCGGUUGGGGAUGGACUCGCGGCUUAUCAGCUUGUUGGGGGGGUAGUGGCUUACCAAGGCUUUGACGGGUAGCCGGCCUGAGAGGGUGACAGGCCACAUUGGGACUGAGAUACGGCCCAGACUCGUACGGGAGGCAGCAGUGGGGAAUAUUGCACAAUGGGCGGAAGCCUAGUGCAGCAACGCCGCGUGCGGGAUGACGGCCUUCGGGUUGUAAACCGCUUUCGCCUGUGACGAAGCGUGAGUGACGGUAAUGGGUAAAGAAGCACCGGCUAACUACGUG
This 468-nucleotide ribosomal RNA is filed under the name uncultured bacterium. RNAcentral describes it as "partial 16S ribosomal RNA". It matches the Rfam family "Bacterial small subunit ribosomal RNA", at positions 28 to 507 of the family's 1533-position model. The record is from RNAcentral.